This 587-nucleotide ribosomal RNA is filed under the name uncultured bacterium. RNAcentral's name for it is "bacterial SSU rRNA". It matches the Rfam family "Bacterial small subunit ribosomal RNA", at positions 338 to 916 of the family's 1533-position model. The record is from RNAcentral.
CCUACGGGAGGCAGCAGUGAGGAAUUUUGCGCAAUAGGGGAAACCCUGACGCAGCAACGCCGCGUGAGUGAAGAAGGCCCUCGGGUCGUAAAGCUCUGUCAAGUGGGAAAAAAGCUUACUGGUAAAUAGCCAGGAAGACUGAUGGUACCAUUGAAGGAAGCACCGGCUAACUCCGUGCCAGCAGCCGCGGUAAUACGGAGGGUGCAAGCGUUGUUCGGAAUUACUGGGCGUAAAGGGCGUGUAGGCGGUGUGGUAAGUCAGAUGUGAAAGCCCUGGGCUUAACCCAGGAAGUGCAUUUGAAACUGCCAUGCUUGAGUAUGGGAGAGGAGAGUGGAAUUCCCAGUGUAGAGGUGAAAUUCGUAGAUAUUGGGAGGAACACCCGUGGCGAAGGCGACUCUCUGGGCCAAUACUGACGCUGAGGCGCGAAAGCGUGGGGAGCAAACAGGAUUAGAUACCCUGGUAGUCCACGCUGUAAACGAUGAGCACUAGGUGUAGCGGGUAUUGACCCCUGCUGUGCCGUAGCUAACGCAUUAAGUGCUCCGCCUGGGGAGUACGGCCGCAAGGCUAAAACUCAAAGGAAUUGACGG